Molecule: ribosomal RNA, 156 nt
Filed under: Triticum aestivum (bread wheat)
Lineage: Eukaryota; Viridiplantae; Streptophyta; Magnoliopsida; Poales; Poaceae
Description: partial small subunit ribosomal RNA
Source: RNAcentral
AUGCAGGGGAGGUCGUCGUGGACGAGCGACAUGGCGUGGACCAUCUCGACGGCGCAGGCCACGGGCUCGGCGGCGGCCUCGUCGCCGCCCACCAGCUCGCACGCGGCGAGCGCGAGCAUGGGGCGCACCCGCUUGCCGCCCGCGAGGAGCGAGUAG